This 73-nucleotide transfer RNA is filed under the name Archaeoglobus sp. Its description in RNAcentral is "tRNA-Asn". It matches the Rfam family "tRNA". Rfam says of the family: Transfer RNA (tRNA) molecules are approximately 80 nucleotides in length. Their secondary structure includes four short double-helical elements and three loops (D, anti-codon, and T loops). RNAcentral also lists the same sequence under 2 other names. Lineage: Archaea; Methanobacteriati; Methanobacteriota; Archaeoglobi; Archaeoglobales; Archaeoglobaceae. The record is from RNAcentral.
GCCGCCGUAGCUCAGCUGGUGGAGCGUGUGGCUGUUAACCACAUGGUCGCAGGUUCGAAUCCUGCCGGCGGCG